GCCAGGCAUGGUGGUGCAGGCCUGUAAUCCCAGCAACUUGGGAGGCUGAGGCGGGAGGAUCGAGAUUUCAAAGCCAGCCUCAG
RNAcentral lists this small RNA (83 nucleotides) under Marmota monax (woodchuck). Lineage: Eukaryota; Metazoa; Chordata; Mammalia; Rodentia; Sciuridae. The record is from RNAcentral.